CGCGGAGUGGAGCAGUUGGUAGCUCGUUGGGCUCAUAACCCAAAGGUCACAAGUUCGAAUCUUGUCUCCGCAA
RNAcentral lists this transfer RNA (73 nucleotides) under Bacteroidales bacterium. RNAcentral describes it as "tRNA-Met". It matches the Rfam family "tRNA". Rfam says of the family: Transfer RNA (tRNA) molecules are approximately 80 nucleotides in length. Their secondary structure includes four short double-helical elements and three loops (D, anti-codon, and T loops). Further hydrogen bonds mediate the characteristic L-shaped molecular structure. tRNAs have two regions of fundamental functional importance: the anti-codon, which is responsible for specific mRNA codon recognition, and the 3' end, to which the tRNAs corresponding amino acid is attached (by aminoacyl-tRNA synthetases). tRNAs cope with the degeneracy of the genetic code in two manners: having more than one tRNA (with a specific anti-codon) for a particular amino acid; and 'wobble' base-pairing, i.e. permitting non-standard base-pairing at the 3rd anti-codon position. Lineage: Bacteria; Pseudomonadati; Bacteroidota; Bacteroidia; Bacteroidales. The record is from RNAcentral. RNAcentral also lists the same sequence under 1 other name.